Molecule: small nuclear RNA, 107 nt
Organism: Pongo abelii (Sumatran orangutan)
Lineage: Eukaryota; Metazoa; Chordata; Mammalia; Primates; Hominidae
Source: Ensembl
UUGCUUACUUUGGCAGCACAUAUACUAUAAUUGGAAUGAUACAGAGAAGAUUAGCAUGACCCCUGCGCAACGACGACAUGGGAAUUUGCGAAGCGUUUCAUGUUCUU